GAUGAGAAGCUUGCUUCUCUGAGAGUUAGCGGCGGACGGGUGAGUAACACGUAGGCAACCUGCCUGUAAGAUCGGGAUAACUACCGGAAACGGUAGCUAAGACCGGAUAAUCGGUUUCUCCGCAUGGAGGGAUCGUGAAACACGGAGCAAUCUGUGGCUUACGGAUGGGCCUGCGGCGCAUUAGCUAGUUGGUGAGGUAACGGCUCACCAAGGCGACGAUGCGUAGCCGACCUGAGAGGGUGAACGGCCACACUGGGACUGAGACACGGCCCAGACUCCUACGGGAGGCAGCAGUAGGGAAUCUUCCGCAAUGGACGCAAGUCUGACGGAGCAACGCCGCGUGAGUGAUGAAGGUUUUCGGAUCGUAAAGCUCUGUUGCCAGGGAAGAACGCCAAGGAGAGUAACUGCUCUUUGGGUGACGGUACCUGAGAAGAAAGCCCCGGCUAACUACGUGCCAGCAGCCGCGGUAAUACGUAGGGGGCAAGCGUUGUCCGGAAUUAUUGGGCGUAAAGCGCGCGCAGGCGGUUUUUUAAGUCUGGUGUUUAAUCCCGAGGCUCAACCUCGGUUCGCACCGGAAACUGGGAGACUGGAGUGCAGGAGAGGAAAGUGGAAUUCCACGUGUAGCGGUGAAAUGCGUAGAGAUGUGGAGGAACACCAGUGGCGAAGGCGACUUUCUGGCCUGUAACUGACGCUGAGGCGCG
Molecule: ribosomal RNA, 701 nt
Filed under: Paenibacillus sp. FJAT-17168
Lineage: Bacteria; Bacillati; Bacillota; Bacilli; Caryophanales; Paenibacillaceae
Description: bacterial SSU rRNA
Rfam family: Bacterial small subunit ribosomal RNA
Source: RNAcentral